UAGACGUGUUUUUAUUAGUUUUCCGUUCGGCUUUUAUUGAGAAUAACAAAAAAGAAUUCGUUUGUAAUCACACAUCGAAUAUUUGGCAAAAAAUAUCGCUGACCUAAUCGACGUUCGUUGAAAGUGUUAAGCGUACUUUAAUUAUAAUAUGUAUUAUAUUAAUAACCAUGUGCCAGUGGCGUGUCAACGAAAUUUUAAUAGAUAUCAAAAUAUGGGUGUAAGACAGUGCAGAUAUAUAUUUAGUAGUGCAAUACGAAUUAUACGU
Cinara cedri is the source of this 265-nucleotide non-coding RNA. The record is from the annotation of a GenBank genome assembly. NCBI's taxonomy places the organism in Eukaryota, Metazoa, Arthropoda, Insecta, Hemiptera, Aphididae.